ACAUACGUGUUUUUAUCAGGACAGUGAUGACAUGCCAAGAACACGUACAGCCAAUGUGAUGGGAAAAGAAAAAGGUUUACAAUAAAAAUGACGGAUUUUUCUCUUUGUAAUGGGAUGUGAGCAAAUGUUUGCCCAAAGGCACUUUUCAAGUGAUAUUGACCCAUAGCCAUCCAACACCUCCGUUUGCUAUUC
Molecule: long non-coding RNA, 192 nt
Organism: Hippocampus comes (tiger tail seahorse)
Lineage: Eukaryota; Metazoa; Chordata; Actinopteri; Syngnathiformes; Syngnathidae
Exons: 2
Source: RefSeq, a predicted model, not a curated record